This 799-nucleotide ribosomal RNA is filed under the name Streptomyces sp. RNAcentral describes it as "bacterial SSU rRNA". It matches the Rfam family "Bacterial small subunit ribosomal RNA", at positions 56 to 866 of the family's 1533-position model. Lineage: Bacteria; Bacillati; Actinomycetota; Actinomycetes; Kitasatosporales; Streptomycetaceae. The record is from RNAcentral.
UGAAAGUCGACGAUGAACCACCUUCGGGUGGGGAUUAGUGGCGAACGGGUGAGUAACACGUGGGCAAUCUGCCCUGCACUCUGGGACAAGCCCUGGAAACGGGGUCUAAUACCGGAUACUGACCUGCCAAGGCAUCUUGGCGGGUCGAAAGCUCCGGCGGUGCAGGAUGAGCCCGCGGCCUAUCAACUUGUUGGUGAGGUAAUGGCUCACCAAGGCGACGACGGGUAGCCGGCCUGAAAGGGCGACCGGCCACACUGGGACUGAAACACGGCCCAAACUCCUACGGGAGGCAGCAGUGGGGAAUAUUGCACAAUGGGCGAAAGCCUGAUGCAGCGACGCCGCGUGAGGGAUGACGGCCUUCGGGUUGUAAACCUCUUUCAGCAGGGAAAAAGCGAAAGUGACGGUACCUGCACAAGAAGCGCCGGCUAACUACGUGCCAGCAGCCGCGGUAAUACGUAGGGCGCAAGCGUUGUCCGGAAUUAUUGGGCGUAAAGAGCUCGUAGGCGGCUUGUCGCGUCGGUUGUGAAAGCCCGGGGCUUAACCCCGGGUCUGCAGUCGAUACGGGCAGGCUACAGUUCGGUAGGGGAGAUCGGAAUUCCUGGUGUAGCGGUGAAAUGCGCAGAUAUCAUGAGGAACACCGGUGGCGAAGGCGGAUCUCUGGGCCGAUACUGACGCUGAGGAGCGAAAGCGUGGGGAGCAAACACGAUUACAUACCCUGGUAGUCCACGCCGUAAACGGUGGGCACUACGUGUGGAGCAACAUUCCACGUUGUCUGUGCCACAGCUAACGCAUAUAAGUG